AAGCUACACUCUGUGUCAGAAGUCCUCAGGGAUAAUGAUCUGACUCAAUUUGAGCUUUGCAAUAAUAAAUCCAGUGUGUUUCUGUAGAGCAUUGUCCUUCUGGUGGGAUUAAUGCAGGACACACUGGGACAGC
This 133-nucleotide small nucleolar RNA is filed under the name Labrus bergylta (ballan wrasse). RNAcentral describes it as "Small nucleolar RNA SNORA28 (ENSLBEG00000002422.1)". Lineage: Eukaryota; Metazoa; Chordata; Actinopteri; Labriformes; Labridae. The record is from RNAcentral.